UGUAAGGUGUUAGUCGUGCUGUUGUGAACGUUGGACAGCGCCUAAAAGCCCAUACAUAACACAGGGGCAAUUUUGUACUUUCAUCUCUCUUCGUUGACAAGUCAACAAAAGUCAAAAGUAACUAAAAAGCUUCCUCUUUCUUCUCCGACUGAUUCUCUUUCUUCUCCGACUACGCCAUUGUUGAUUCUCUUUGUUCUCCGACUUGACUGUCGUUACUCCGAAAAGCGUGCGGUAACCCUUUCAUCUCCGUUUCUGUUGAAAAACGAUAGUCUUGAGAAAGCCAUCAACGUUGAACUUCUAUGGCUGCUAGAGGUUAGUAAUUCAAUUUUAUAGGAUUCUUCAAGAUAUUUUUAGUAGAGUAGGUUCAAUUGAUUUUGGUUGGUAAUUUUUUGGAAAAUUGAAUUGGAAUUUUUAGGGUUUACAUAGUCAAAUUGAAUUGGAAUUUUCUAGGGGGUUUACAUAGUCAAAUUGGGGAUUUUUACAUAGCACUUGGGUAGAAGACUAGACACGAGUACCCAUUCACACCACCAGUCUUAAGUAUGUUUUUUCUAGGUUUUGAAGUGCAGGGUAAAGGUUGUUGUUAUUGGGACGUCGUAUUCUUCAAUUGCAUUUUUGUUUCUCUAUUCUGUAAUCAUUGAGGCAAUGGGGUAAUGAUAAUAAUAAUGAAUAUUCUGUAAUGUCUUUCCAUGUCUUUUAAUAUAAAUUGAAUGCAACUUAUCGUGUUAAUCGGAAGCAGUUCAGGCCUUCAGGCUUGUUUAUGUUGGACUAGUCUUAUAUGCACGCAUAUAUGCACGCGAUGCGUGCGAGAUUAUACACAAAGUACAAUGAUAGAUGGAUAUAUUGUCACAAACCAGACCAAAUUACAUGAUUCAUGGCUAUUUUCCAUAAAAUAAGAAAUGAACACAAUUUACUCAAAUUCGGUACUAAAAAGUAAAAACAACUAAAACAAUUCAAAAUUUGUAUCAUAUUACUUAAUUUCUUCUCUCGUAGAUGUUUUUUCCCGGAUUGUUGAUUCUACUCGAUGCGUCUCCCCUUUUGAUCGAACUCGAAAAAAUCAGAAAAUUUCAAAAAUUCAGAAAUGAUCAAUGAACUCAUAAAAUCAGAAAAUAAUCCCCAAAAAUUCAGAAAAAUUAAACCUGUGCAAAUUAAAUCAAGUACUCAAAGAAAUAUAAAUAACACCAUUUCCUACCAGUUGGGGAAAUAAAACUCUAUUGGACUAAAAAAAACACAAUAUCGGUUAUACUUUUGCACAAACGAUUCAAAUAACACAAUAGUAUCUCAGUCUUCACUACAUAUGCAAAACUUAACUCAAUCAUACAAAAACACUCAAAUUCCAUAGGUAAGCAGUGGUAACAUCACUCAAUCAUUCAUGAAAGCAUUCAAUAAUGACUUUUUACUUGAACUUAAAUUUGCAACAUAAGACCAACAAACAUAGUUCAAGAAAGCGUGAUAAAGUAUCAUUAAAAGACAAAAGUUACAGAUCAUAAGGGCAGUAGAGAAUAUACCAAUAGUUCCUCGGUUACUGAAGUUUGGAACGGUUGAUCAAGAAGCUCCUAGAAACCCGUCAUUGAUACAAUCCUUCAUUGGUGUUGUCGCAGUCAUGCAGUAUUGAAUGCCAGAGAGGGUCUUCAUAAUAGGAUGUGGUUUCACUUCUUGGACCGCAACUGUGUUUACUGUGUUAUUUCCGCCACCAGCAUUUCCACAACCAACAUUUCCUCCUCCAGAUUUUUUUUUCCCAAUCUCUAUCUUUACCUGUUAUUUUAUACAUAACAACAAUUUUUUUUACCACAAAUAUCAGUUUCAAAGAAAUAAAUACAAAUUCCUUGAGUGAUGCACAAACUUUAGUUAAAAAUAAUUGAAAUGAUUUGUGUUUGGCGGUAUCAGUAUUUAUUUGUGUUCGUAAUGAUUUUGAUUUUAUUCUUAAUGCUAACGUUUUUAGUUUUUUUACUCGUCUAAAUUGUUGAAUCCAUGCCUUCACUUAAGCUGUAAUUUAUUCCCAUCUGGGGUAUGCGGAAACAUGUUCUUUUAAUUUUUAAUUAGUGGAGCAUCAACAAUCAAGCAGGAUAUGCAUCAUGAUUAAAUUCAGAAAACUGAGAUAAUCAAUCAAACUAAUAGAAGGAUACACCUCAUCAUUAAAGUCAUAAAUUGAAUUGAGAUGAUCAAACCAACUAAUAGCAGGAUACACAUCAUGAUUAUAUUUAGAAAAUUGAGAUAAGCAGUCAAACAAAUAGCAGGAUAUGCGUCAUGAUUAAAUUCAGCAAACUGAGAUAAUCAAACAAACUAAUAGCAGGAUACGCAUCUGAUUAAACAACACAAAACAAAAUUGAGAUAUAGAGGUGACUCAGAAAAUGAUUUGUACCCGUAUAAAAGAGCCAUUAGACGGGCCUGUGGGUUAGAACAUCUUCACAGUCCCAAAUUGGUAAAACUCAUCUCAAUCCUCAAAAUUGAAAUUGGGAAAUUGAACAGGAAUUACCUGAGGGAAGCAAUGCGAUCAAUUAGCUCAGAAAGGACGCAUGCUGGAAAUUUCACAAUUUCACACAUCAGAAACACAACUGACCAUAAGUAAAGCAGAAAAUUUUGGUAUAUUACAAACACGAUAAAAAAUUAGACACAGUAAUAAACCGGCUAUUCAGCAGAUUCAGCUUGUUACUUACAUCAGAUGCCUCCAUAAUCCCAAACUUUGUGUCUUAGUGCCUUAAUUUUGGUUGUUUGUUGUUCUUUUUUUGUUGGUUUUUGGUUACCUGUUGUGGUUUGGCCUGUGUUGUUGGCUUUUAGCAGGCUAUUUUUGGGUUCUCUGUUGUCUGUAGUCAGGUGGCAGCAACUUGGUCUAGUGGCUUUUGCUUUUGAGCAGGUUCUGCAGGGUCUUUCUGAUGUAGUUCUGUUGGGUUUCAGUUCGCAGCAGGCAGCAGCUGUGCUUUUCCAGUCAGUUAGUGCAGCCAGUGAGCCAGCUGUCUUACUUUCUCCGCCAUUUCCUUCAUCUCCUCCUCCAACUCCUUGAUUUUCCCUUUAAAACCCUCACAUACAGCAUACCAACACUCACUCAGUUGAGCAUACAACUCACAAACCAAACACAAAAUCUCACAAUCAAGUCACACGACAAAUUCAAACAAUGUUCAAAUCAAAUCACAAAUUUAAAAAACACAUAUAAAUUUUAAUAAAAGUUGAAUUGAAGAAGGUAGGUGUUUGUCUUAUACUUGCAUUAUCUGCUGAGGUUCUAUGAGUUGAGAGAAAGGGCGAUGGAGUUGAGAGGGAGAGAUUGUUCUCUCAAAACACUAAUCAAUAGGAACUCCAUCACCCAUCAAAUCUCCAGUUCAUCGAUAUGACAUAUCUUUAAAUCCAUCAAACCAUAUCUUUAAAUCAAUCGAUACAUUAAGAUUCAUGAAAAUUAAAAAUUUAUAAGCAUCUGAAAUUUGUAAGGACGGCAAGAUAUUGAAAGUUAGAUUGUUGGAAAGUAGGCAUUGGUACGUCGUCAUAUAAAUGGUGGGAACACAAUCCGAUUGUAGAAGAAAUUUUUCCACAAAACAAAAAGUAGUCAUGAAAAUUACCAUCCUUCCAUUUUUCCCCUCCUCGAUUGUCUCUCUCCUCAGUAACGCUCACUUGGAGAAUGGAGAUUGGAGAGUAACGCAUGGGAUUGAAUCAACUUUGUGAAGAUGCGAAGGGUAUUUUAGUAUUUUACAUAGGGGACACGAAAAGUGAUGUUACCAAAACGCCCUCAUCUGUUCCUUUAUAUAAUAGAGAUUGUUACUUGCUCUUUGAUUCUACUAAUACGAACCUGUAACUUAGGAGAAAUUUCAAAACAAUCCCCUUGAUUGACAUAUCAAGUGGCAUUUUCGUAAUUACAAUAAGUAAAUAUACAAUCUAGAAAUUGCAAUGUACAAUAUAUUUGAUAUUUAAAAAGUUAAAAAUAAAAGAAAAUAAUUUUAAAUAUAAAAAGAUAUUGUACACUUAAAUAGGUAGAUUGUAUAUUUUGAUAAUUUAUUUACGAAAAUACCCCUUGAUAUGUUUACUUGCCAAUCAAGGGGAUUGACUGGUUGGAGCUCGUAGGGUUUGAAUUUAAAUUAUUAGGUCACCAAUUUAUAGCUUCAAUUGAUGUAGUCGGGUAAUUUGUGUAAAAGUUCGAAAAGAGCAGCCAUAAAAUUCAAAAAGAGCCAAAGAAGUUCACCAUCACCAUCACCAUCGCUUUAAAGGGGAAACAACUUAGGAUUCUUGCAAAAGGGAAACAUAGAAGCUCUCUUUUUAUUCGCUGUUUCGUCUUGGAGUGUUGUUGGUGGUAAUUUCACGAUCACUAUUGCUGAAGGGAGUUGGAUGACACGUACAGCCAGGUGCCUACGCUGGCCAUUGGUAUGUGGAAAAAGGCCUGACAAUGCAACAUUUAAACGAGGCGUUGUGAAGUACAUUUACAACUGUGUGGGUCAUGUUAGUGAACCUGCAGCAGUCUAUUGCUGCUUACUGUUAAGUAUAACCUUGGUGAAAUAGCCUUCAAAAUGUAAAACAGGAAAACAAGUUACACAGAGAACUGAAAGUUCCAUAAAUUUGAUCAACCAAUGGUAUUACUUGAUUAAAGUCCAUGAUCUUUAGGCGUGAAUCCAACCAAACAAGUCCUGGUAUUUUAGAAGUUAUAUGCUUGGUCAUGGGUGUGUGUCUAUUUGAUUGCACUGAUUGGGGCAAUCUGUGAUUUUUCUUUUUGAAUCAGAGGACAUCUUGUCUCAUUAUUUGCUCUCCUUUUUUCCUACUGUUUUAUAUAUUCUCUUUUCCUGUCAGAAAAAGCUAUUUAAUUACACUGAUAGAGGUAAGACUGCAUUUGUGAACUUUCCCGGAUACCACUUAUUGUUGAAUCAAUAGUCCGUACUGGGAGGUGAUAGUAGUGUACAUCUGAACUGCUUGGCUACAAAUAUAUAUCAAAAAUUAACUGGAGUACAUGGGAUGUGAGGGAUAAUAUUAUCUUACUUGGUGUUGUUUACUUUCAAUGAGAAGCAAGUGCCAUGAGACUGCUUUAGAAGAUGACCGAUAAAUGGUGAGUGGAGAUGUAGUAGCAUGACUUUUGUUGGUUGUUUUUCUUAUGGUGAACUAGUAAAAAGAAACUAGGGAUUAUCCAAACGAGGAAGGGGUAGUGGACGAGGAAGGGGAGAAGCGCAACCAGAUGUAACUGGUCAGGGACGAGGAGGAAUAAGAGGAGCAACUUGUGUUGCUUUCUUAGAUAAUAGGUUUUAAGAACUGUAGUAAUGAUGCAAUGAUCCCUAAGAGUAGAUCUGCUGGGAACAUCAAGAAUGCAUCUGCUCCUGCCAUAGCUAUUGACUACUGGAGGUUGCCAGCAGAUCUACUCUUAGAGGUGUUGUGAUGGUUGUUAGGGCAGAUGAAUAUCGAGAAACCGAGAAUGUAUGGCUCGUUUUUUUUUCUUCUUGAUUAAUUUAAUUUUGCUAAGAGAGAGGUGUAAAAUGAAAAAUAUAUAUUAUGAUGUGGGAAGUAGCAUUUCCUAGGAUGAUUAUACUUAACUCACUUAAGUAGUAUAAUCUGACAAAUGCUGUUACUUAGGUGGUUGUUUUUUCUUUGUUGGAGCAACAAAAGGAUAAAGGUUUGGGGCUAUGAUUCUUUUAAACCUUUUCUUGUGAAAAAGUUAGGAUUUUCAAUGGCAGUAGAGGUCUGAUUUCAGGGGAGGGAGAUAAUGUAGAAAAAGGAAUCCCUGAAGCUGUGAGCAAUGACAGAAGCAAUGUGUAGAGGGAACAUCUAUUAGCUAGUUUAAGCUUGAUAAUAAUUUGUUUAAGAUUAUAACAUCAGCUUGUGUUUGAUUGUUAAUGAUUUUACAGGAGUAAGUUUCUAAUAUGAGAUUAUUAUUUUAUUUUUAAAUCUGAGCAAAGAGGGUUCCGAGUUUCAUAGUUUCAUAGAGGAGAGUAACGAGAAACCUUCGCAACCUUGCGAUGAGAAACUGGUGUAACUGCUUCAGAGGCAACAGAAACAACGGUUCAGUUGGCGAUCUGGACAAACACUGUACCUCAGAGCAAGAUUAGCGCUAGUAUAAGAGUUUGGUGGCUUGUGGGAGUGUGAUUGAGAGGAAUUUGUUGGCACACGUACAGCAGAUAUUAUUUCGGGAGAAGAAGACAUGCAAGAGAAAAGAUGAUGUUAAUAGAUUCUACUGCAAAAUGUACACUAUCAAUGUAAUCAUAAGUUGAGAUGCAGAUAAAGGUCAGUUUUAGAAGAAAUAUUUAUUAAUGUCUUCUGAAAAAGAAGAGCAAUGUGCGUUAUUGCGCAUAGACGUUAGUUCAAAUCUUACAUAGACUAUAAUUAUUGUAAUGAUUUAUCAAAUUUUCAAAAGUAGGGAAGAAAUAUCAACAUUAAAACUAGGUAGAAAUGUAUAAUGAAGUAUUUGCAUUUCAGUUGCCCUAGCCCCUAACCUGACAGCGCUUUCAUCUACCACGGUUGCCUACUGCUAUUAAUUGCAUCCUUUGACCGCUAUUAGUUGCGAUAUUUGUAGUAGUGACGUGCUAGGUUUGUGAUAGUGCUAGGGAGCUAUAC
Long non-coding RNA from Spinacia oleracea (spinach), 6510 nucleotides. RefSeq lists it as uncharacterized. The transcript has 3 exons. The record is from RefSeq and is a predicted model, not a curated record. Lineage: Eukaryota; Viridiplantae; Streptophyta; Magnoliopsida; Caryophyllales; Amaranthaceae.